RNAcentral lists this ribosomal RNA (181 nucleotides) under uncultured Clostridium sp. RNAcentral describes it as "partial 16S ribosomal RNA". It matches the Rfam family "Bacterial small subunit ribosomal RNA", at positions 338 to 531 of the family's 1533-position model. The record is from RNAcentral. Lineage: Bacteria; Bacillati; Bacillota; Clostridia; Eubacteriales; Clostridiaceae.
CCUACGGGAGGCAGCAGUGGGGAAUAUUGCACAAUGGGGGAAACCCUGAUGCAGCAACGCCGCGUGAGUGAUGAAGGCCUUCGGGUUGUAAAGCUCUGUCUUUGGGGACGAUAAUGACGGUACCCAAGGAGGAAGCCACGGCUAACUCCGUGCCAGCAGCCGCGGUAAUAAUCUCUAGAGG